UGGUGUUACUGCGAAGGGGGGACGGAGAAGGCUAGGCUAGCCGGGCGACGGUUGUCCCGGUUUAAGCGUGUAGGGGGUGUGACCUGGUAAAUCCGGUUGCAUAUCAACCCUGAGGCGUGAUGACGAUGCACUACGGUGCAGAAGUAGUUGAUGCCCUGCUUCCAGGAAAAGCCUCUAAGCUCCAGGUAACAUUGAAUCGUACCCCAAACCGACACAGGUGGUCAGGUAGAGAAUACCAAGGCGCUUGAGAGAACUCGGGUGAAGGAACUAGGCAAAAUGGU
Molecule: ribosomal RNA, 281 nt
Filed under: Serratia marcescens
Lineage: Bacteria; Pseudomonadati; Pseudomonadota; Gammaproteobacteria; Enterobacterales; Yersiniaceae
Description: partial 23S ribosomal RNA
Rfam family: Bacterial large subunit ribosomal RNA
Source: RNAcentral